CUUCGAAAGAAGCCAUUCAAGAGGCGCUGGCUCUGGAUGAGAUCAAAACUCACCACUGGUGCAUCAUGGGUUGCAGCGCAGUGACAGGAAAGAACUUGUUGGCCGGAGUAGACUGGUUACUGGAUGACAUCUCCGCAAGAAUCUUCACAGUAGAAUGACCCAAUUUAGAGUUCAAUU
This is a long non-coding RNA of Thalassophryne amazonica, 177 nucleotides long. RefSeq lists it as uncharacterized. The record is from RefSeq and is a predicted model, not a curated record. The transcript has 3 exons. NCBI's taxonomy places the organism in Eukaryota, Metazoa, Chordata, Actinopteri, Batrachoidiformes, Batrachoididae.